UCUCUACGACGGGUUAAACAACCGCCUUUCACUUUUAAUAAUCACUAUUACGGUGGGAACUCACUUUUCAAUAUGUGAAAUUAAACAGUUCCCUCCCUCUUAAGAUUUAGGUCAAGAUGACUUAGCCAUUCGUCUUAUUGACGUUUGCAUUUCUCAAAGAACAAGUAAGAAAAAUUUCAGUACCCAUUCGUAAACGAAAAGUUCUCUAAAACCCUAAAAUUCCUCCCCUUCGGUUCGCCUCCUUCUCCUCACCGCCAUCUCAUGACACCACUUAUGUACCACCAAUAAUCCUCACCGCCAUCUCAUGACACCACUUAUGUACCACCAAUAACCGACGGCCGCUCAACUCAACCCAGAACACUAGGCCAAAAUUGAAUUCUUGUCAAACCCAUAACACUUUGGCUGGCUAGGAGCCUAGGACACAUCAAAGCGCCUCCACUGGUUGGAAACCUGGCGCCUCCACUGGUUGGUUCUCAAACAGGAAAACUCUUCUGGUUCAAGGACCAAUCCCCGCCGCCACACAUUCAUAUGUACCUAAUCUCUGUAUACACCUGCCUCACUGUAAAGUGUAAAGACGCCGAUGGCGUUAGCCUCCGUCUUUGAACUCUCGACGUCGGAGUCCACCAUGUUCUUUAUUGCUGAUAAAUAUAAAGAAGAUUGGAUAUUAGAAGGGCGCGAUUACUCUUGGGUUGAGAGCUCUUGAUGCUUAUGAGAUUAUUGAUCAUCUCUUUGUAUACUAUAGUUUUUUCAUUGUCUUGAUUUUGAUGAAUCCAUUUGUAGAAGUAUUCAUCUUGAGUUUUGGAAAUUGGGUAUUUAGGAUUUUGUUUGAUCUGGAUGAGUAAGUGAUUUUGGGAUAAGUCAUUUAUGAAUAUAGUUUUGUGUUUGAUAAAAAGUGAUUUGGAGAAAGAAGUGAAGAAGUAGGAUUCAAUUAUUUUGCUUAUUGGUUAUUAAGAGUUGAUGUUUUGAGUUUUUCUGAUGGAGUCAACAUAACAUAAAGAGUAAAGCAUGUUCUUUUUUUUUAUUCAAUCGAUGAUGGAAAUGGAAAUUUGCAUGAUUAACAAAUUAAGUAGAAUAUAAAGGUAUUGAAUAUAAAGGUCUCUUACCUUCUUUCUUAAUAUCUUUAUGCCUAUCAGGUUUUCUUAGAUAGAGUGGAAUAUUUUAUCCAAUUAGUCACUGUUCAUGAAGAUCAAAUCUUUCAGAAACGAGUUCGAAUUCAGCAGAUGGAAGAAAAUAAUAUGAAGAGAUGAGAACUAGGGGAAGAGGAUUAAAGCUUCAAGAGCCACAAUCCUCACUUUCUGAUAAUGUUAUGUAUUUAAUUUAUUUCCUAAACACUUCUAGUAUUUUCGUAGUCUGAAUUGCAUAGUUUCAUUUGAUGACUCAAAAUAUUUUCAUAGUCUGAAUUGCAUAGUUUCAUUUGAUGACUCAAAAUGUCUUAUAGCAUACCAGAAGCAACAAAUAGCAGCGCGUGUAUUUAAUUCUUGUUAUUGUAUUUAUAGAUGGAAGAAAAUAAUAUGAAGAGAUGAGAACUAGGGGAAGAGGAUUAAAGCUUCAAGAGCCACAAUCCUCACUUUUUGAUAAUGUUAUGUAUUUAAUUUAUUUCCUAAACACUUCUAGUAUUUUCGUAGUCUGAAUUGCAUAGUUUCAUUUGAUGACUCAAAAUAUUUUCAUAGUCUGAAUUGCAUAGUUUCAUUUGAUGACUCAAAAUGUCUUAUAGCAUACCAGAAGCAACAAAUAGCAGCGCGUGUAUUGGGAAAUCUACAUGGAAAAGAGUUUUUGAUUCCCUCAAGCAGGUUGAGUACUUAAAUUCCAUAGCAUAUCCGAUAGUAGCUGGGAAAAAGUUACUUAAAAAGGGAUCCAUACAAAGUGGGUGUUUGUAAAAAGGAGUCUUAAAGCCAUUGGUUUGGGUGCUUUCUAAAUGUCAGACUCAUUUGAUGAUAUUUGAAUAUCAAAAGGAACUUGGUACUUACUCAGCUAUGAAAGUAUGCACAUCAGCAGACUUAGAAUGAUUUUUUAGUAUAAUUUUUUUAAUUAAAUAUCAUGAGAUGAUUUGUUAGUAUAAUUUUUUGUAAGUUUAGAUAUAUAUUUUUGUAAGUUUAGAAAUAUAUAGUUGUACUAUAGUAAGAUCAGAACAAC
Molecule: long non-coding RNA, 2133 nt
Organism: Vicia villosa (hairy vetch)
Lineage: Eukaryota; Viridiplantae; Streptophyta; Magnoliopsida; Fabales; Fabaceae
Exons: 4
Source: RefSeq, a predicted model, not a curated record